RNAcentral lists this ribosomal RNA (589 nucleotides) under Dehalobacter sp. TeCB1. RNAcentral's name for it is "bacterial LSU rRNA". It matches the Rfam family "Bacterial large subunit ribosomal RNA", at positions 1 to 521 of the family's 2925-position model. Lineage: Bacteria; Bacillati; Bacillota; Clostridia; Eubacteriales; Desulfitobacteriaceae. The record is from RNAcentral.
GGUCAAGAUAUAAAGGGCAUACGGUGGAUGCCUUGGCGCCAAGAGCCGAAGAAGGACGCGGUUAACAGCGAAAUGCCACGGGGAGUCGUAAGCAGGCAUAGAUCCGUGGAUGUCCGAAUGGGGCAACCCAUCCAGAGUCAUAUUUGGAUAUCCUGUACUGAAUAAAUAGGUACAGCGAAGGCAAGUCGGGGAACUGAAACAUCUAAGUACCCGGAGGAAAAGAAAGAAUAAUCGAUUCCCAGAGUAGCGGCGAGCGAAACGGGACUAGCCCAAACCAAUCCAGAAGACAGAGGCCAGAAGCCAGAGGUCAGAAUGCAAGCAAGCAUCUGGCGUCCGGAAUCUGAUUUCUGACUUCUGGGUUGGGGUUGUAGGACUCUCAAAACGGGACAGUGUUUUUAGCUGAAGCGAACUGGAAAGUUCCGGCAUAGGAGGUAAAACCCCUGUAAGCGAAAAGAAGACUGGCUUAGAGAGUAUCCUGAGUACCGCGGGACACGAGAAACCCCGUGGGAAGCAGGGGAGACCACUCCCCAAGGCUAAAUACUACUUGGCGACCGAUAGUGAACAAGUACCGUGAGGGAAAGGUGAAAAG